AGGGCCCUAACAGUGUGAAUCUGCGAUUUAUGCUUUGCCGUGUUUUUGCUAACUGCUACACGGAGCUUAUUGGAAGAGUUCUAGCAUUUGGUUGGGGGAAAAAAAAGCAGCAGCUCACAGGAAAUCUGGUACUUGGGGAGAAUCCAAGAUCAACAGACCAGCAAGCCUACUCAUUGUUCUUUAUCGUUUUGGGCUCUCUUCCAGCCCCUCUAGGUUUCCAUCUCUCUCCAAACCGCUUUCUGCAUUCUCACAUAUGUUAUAGAAAGUAUUAUGAUUUCAGAAAAGGCGCAUUCAUAUUUUAACAGCUUGAUCCACAAAAGGAUUUGUCCGUUUGUUUUGCUUUUGUUUGCUACAUCUCUUCUUAAUGCAAAUGUAUAAGCUUGAUUAUCCCUAAUGAGAGCGCCGCAUGUGUAUGUAUCAUCAGAGAAGGAAUAGAUGCCUUGGCAUAAUUAUCUGCGAAACUGGGUAUUUUUGGACUAUCCUGUCGGUGCAAUAAAUAUUUUACAUCCAGCACA
Chrysemys picta bellii (western painted turtle) is the source of this 515-nucleotide non-coding RNA. Lineage: Eukaryota; Metazoa; Chordata; Testudines; Emydidae. The record is from RefSeq and is a predicted model, not a curated record.